This 1256-nucleotide long non-coding RNA is filed under the name Triticum aestivum (bread wheat). RNAcentral's name for it is "long non-coding RNA (TAES_LNC017721)". Lineage: Eukaryota; Viridiplantae; Streptophyta; Magnoliopsida; Poales; Poaceae. The record is from RNAcentral.
CUUGUCAGAUCCAUGAGGAUGAAUUGAGGGAGAGGGGACAGGAGCAGCACGCGGUAGAUCCACUUUCAGGCUAGCUGCCUCCUCACAGAUACUUCUAGAUAUGCAUUGUAAUAGUCAGACCACACAACAUACAAAUCUCAAGAGCGCAUUAUUUCUUUAUUUCUCAAUAAUUCACAAUAAAUGAUCAAGCAUCUAUAUGCAUGUACCAAAGCAUUUACCUUUGUAGGAGCUUCCCAACUUUGCCUUCUGAGUUGUACGGGCUCUUCCAUGGUCAAAACUCCAUACCACCUUCGCCGCCACCAACGAUGACCGAUCCCAAUCAUUGAGCCGAGCCCGGAGGCCGUCAAAGGGACCGCCAUCUCCCUAAAGCGACGGGUUGCCCUAAGAUGGUUGAGACCAAGUCGAUGGGCACACGCUAGUGAAACCUAGCCCAUCUUAAAACUUUGAACCUAGCCCGUCUUCAAACCUAGCAGAAGACCAAAGCAACAAAUUUAGAAUGAGGGACUGGUUAAUUGUAUUUUUUAAACUUCGCGCGGAGAACUGAAAACUUCUUCUUCUUUGCGGAAACGUAAACCAAAGCACAUAAACGCAUGAUAUAAAAUCAAGAAGAUCUGCAUGUAAAACUUCUAUACUGCAUAGUCUCUUGACAUGUAUAAUUAGUAUUUAAAAAAUGACAAUGUAAAGCAAAGAAAUUGGCAGCAAGAGAAAGAGCUAGCUAGCAAAUAAUUAGAUGCAGACCAGGUUAUCAGUUAGACACAGACCAGGUUAUCAGUUAGACAAAGAACAGAAAAUAGAACAAAGGAUCAUAAAGCAAUCCUUCGUGGUGAGAUACCCCUUAAUUUUUCUCGAAUUUGGAAUGAACUUCUUUACACACAGCAACUGAGUAUAUUUGCAUGUAAUGUUGUACCAAGGAUGGACAAGUGAUGAACAUGAACUGAAUCAUAAAAUCCGUAUAAUUUGCAUUGUUUGCUUUCUAGGACAAAGCAGAAUCACGAGCAACUAAAAUACAGUCAAGUAAGUCGAAAGCACUUAAUAAGAGGUCUGACAUCGGGCAUAUGCCAUGGAAAUAUAGUAGUAAGCCAAAAUGGACAUUUUUGUUGAUUCCUAUCUUUUACAUCUGUAAGAAAGAGCAUGGAAUCUCAGUGGUGUGCGGCUAACACAUAAUAUUUAUCAGAGCAUGCCACUGUCAGACAAUAACCAGCUGAGACAUGUAGGAUAUAAAGAAAUUUACCACACCUCAGCAUCAACAAGUGAUU